GAUGAACGCUGACAGAAUGCUUAACACAUGCAAGUCUACUUGAACUUCGGUUUGGGUGGCGGACGGGUGAGUAACGCGUAAAGAACUUGCCUCACAGUUAGGGACAACAUUUGGAAACGAAUGCUAAUACCUGAUAUUAUGAUUUUAGGGCAUCCUAAGAUUAUGAAAGCUAUAUGCACUGUGAGAGAGCUUUGCGUCCCAUUAGCUAGUUGGAGAGGUAACGGCUCACCAAGGCGAUGAUGGGUAGCCGGCCUGAGAGGGUGAACGGCCACAAGGGGACUGAGACACGGCCCUUACUCCUACGGGAGGCAGCAGUGGGGAAUAUUGGACAAUGGACCAAAAGUCUGAUCCAGCAAUUCUGUGUGCACGAUGACGUUUUUCGGAAUGUAAAGUGCUUUCAGUUGGGAAGAAAAAAAUGACGGUACCAACAGAAGAAGAGACGGCUAAAUACGUG
RNAcentral lists this ribosomal RNA (454 nucleotides) under uncultured bacterium. Its description in RNAcentral is "partial 16S ribosomal RNA". It matches the Rfam family "Bacterial small subunit ribosomal RNA", at positions 28 to 507 of the family's 1533-position model. The record is from RNAcentral.